UACGUAGGGGGCAAGCGUUGUUCGGAUUUAUUGGGCGUAAAGAGCGUGUAGGCGGCUAGAUAGGUCCGUUGUGAAAACUGGAGGCUCAACCUCCAGCUGUCGAUGGAAACCAUCUGGCUAGAGUCCGGAAGAGGAGAGUGGAAUUCCUGGUGUAGCGGUGAAAUGCGCAGAUAUCAGGAAGAACACCCGUGGCGAAGGCGGCUCUCUGGGACGUGACUGACGCUGAGACGCGAAAGCGUGGGGAGCGAACAGG
This 253-nucleotide ribosomal RNA is filed under the name uncultured bacterium. Its description in RNAcentral is "partial 16S ribosomal RNA". It matches the Rfam family "Bacterial small subunit ribosomal RNA", at positions 524 to 776 of the family's 1533-position model. The record is from RNAcentral.